AUUGAACGCUGGCGGAAUGCUUAACACAUGCAAGUCGAACGGUAGAGCGGGCAACCCCUCGAGAGUGGCGAACGGGUGAGUAAUAUAUCGGAACGUGCCCAGUCGUGGGGGAUAACGUAGCGAAAGUUACGCUAAUACCGCAUACGAUCUAAGGAUGAAAGCGGGGGACCGUAAGGCCUCGCGCGAUUGGAGCGGACGAUAUCAGAUUAGGUAGUUGGUGAGGUAAAGGCUCACCAAGCCAACGAUCUGUAGCCGGUCUGAGAGGACGACCAGCAAACUGGGAACGGAGGCUAGGUCGGUAGUCCUGGGGGAGGCAGCUGAGGGGAAUUUUGGACAAUGGAGGGGAGUCUGAUACAGCCAUUCCGAGUGCAGGAUGAAGGCGCUCGGGUUGGAAACUGCGUUUGUACGUAACGAAAAGGUCUCUACUAAGAAGAGGGGAUCAUGACGGUACCGGAAGAAUAAGCACCGGCUAACUACGUGCCAGCAGCCGCCGUAA
RNAcentral lists this ribosomal RNA (496 nucleotides) under uncultured bacterium. RNAcentral's name for it is "partial 16S ribosomal RNA". It matches the Rfam family "Bacterial small subunit ribosomal RNA", at positions 29 to 523 of the family's 1533-position model. The record is from RNAcentral.